This 19-nucleotide microRNA is filed under the name Schistosoma mansoni. Its description in RNAcentral is "sma-miR-8420-5p". The record is from miRBase by way of RNAcentral. Lineage: Eukaryota; Metazoa; Platyhelminthes; Trematoda; Strigeidida; Schistosomatidae.
GGGGAACAUGGUAUAAUUG